This 501-nucleotide ribosomal RNA is filed under the name uncultured bacterium. RNAcentral's name for it is "partial 16S ribosomal RNA". It matches the Rfam family "Bacterial small subunit ribosomal RNA", at positions 30 to 523 of the family's 1533-position model. The record is from RNAcentral.
AUUGAACGCUGGCGGCAUGCCUUACACAUGCAAGUCGAACGGCAGCACGGGUGCUUGCACCUGGUGGCGAGUGGCGAACGGGUGAGUAAUAUAUCGGAACGUACCUUAUUGUGGGGGAUAACGCAGCGAAAGCUGUGCUAAUACCGCAUAAUCCCUAAGGGGGAAAGCGGGGGACCGUAAGGCCUCGCGCAAUUAGAGCGGCCGAUACCUGAUUAGCUAGUUGGUGAGGUAAAGGCUCACCAAGGCAACGAUCAGUAGCUGGUCUGAGAGGACGAUCGGGCACACUGGGACUGAGGCACGGCCCAGGCUCCUACGGGAGGCAGCAGUGGGGAAUUUUGGACAAUGGGGGCAACCCUGAUCCAGCAAUGCCGCGUGAGUGAAGAAGGCCUUCGGGUUGUAAAGCUCUUUUGUCAGGGAAGAAACAGCAGCUCUAACACAGUUUGCGAAUGACGGUACCUGAAGAAUAAGCACCGGCUAACUACGUGCCAGCCGCCGCAGUAA